Molecule: ribosomal RNA, 498 nt
Filed under: uncultured bacterium
Lineage: Bacteria
Description: bacterial SSU rRNA
Rfam family: Bacterial small subunit ribosomal RNA
Source: RNAcentral
GAAAGCGGGGCUAAUACCGGAUAAUAUCUAUAAAAUCUUGGUUUUUUGGAUCAAAGGGGGCCUCUACAUGUAAGCUUCCAUUUGGAGAUGAGCCCGCGUACCAUUAGCUUGUUGGUAGGGUAAUGGCCUACCAAGGCUUCGAUGGUUAGCUGGUCUGAGAGGAUGAUCAGCCACACUGGAACUGACACACGGUCCAGACCCCUACGGGAGGCAGCAGUGAGGAAUUUUGCGCAAUGGGGGAAACCCUGACGCAGCAACGCCGCGUGAGUGAUGAAGGCUUUCGGGUCGUAAAGCUCUGUCAAGUGGGAAGAAACUGUAUUGUAUUAAUACUACAGUACACUGACGGUACCACUGAAGGAAGCACCGGCUAACUCCGUGCCAGCAGCCGCGGUAAUACGGAGGGUGCAAGCGUUAUUCGGAAUUAUUGGGCGUNAAGAGCGCGUAGGCGGUCUCUUAAGUCAGAUGUGAAAGCCCGGGGCUUAACCCCGGAAGUGCAUU